This 902-nucleotide ribosomal RNA is filed under the name Tolypocladium jezoense. RNAcentral's name for it is "partial large subunit ribosomal RNA". It matches the Rfam family "Eukaryotic large subunit ribosomal RNA", at positions 35 to 966 of the family's 3401-position model. The record is from RNAcentral. Lineage: Eukaryota; Fungi; Ascomycota; Sordariomycetes; Hypocreales; Ophiocordycipitaceae.
UAAGCAUAUCAAUAAGCGGAGGAAAAGAAACCAACAGGGAUUGCCCUAGUAACGGCGAGUGAAGCGGCAACAGCUCAAAUUUGGAAUCUGGCCCCCCCAGGGCCCGAGUUGUAAUUUGCAGAGGAUGCUUUUGGCGCGGCGCCUUCCGAGUUCCCUGGAACGGGACGCCAUAGAGGGUGAGAGCCCCGUCUGGUCGGACGCCAAGCCAGUGUAAAGCUCCUUCGACGAGUCGAGUAGUUUGGGAAUGCUGCUCUAAACGGGAGGUAUAUGUCUUCUAAAGCUAAAUACCGGCCAGAGACCGAUAGCGCACAAGUAGAGUGAUCGAAAGAUGAAAAGCACUUUGAAAAGAGGGUUAAACAGUACGUGAAAUUGUUGAAAGGGAAGCGCUUGUGACCAGACUUGGGCCCGGUGAAUCAUCCAGCGUUCUCGCUGGUGCACUUUGCCGGGCCCAGGCCAGCAUCAGUUCGCCGCGGGGGACAAAAGCUCCGGGAACGUGGCUCCCCCGGGAGUGUUAUAGCCCGUUGCACAAUACCCUGCGGUGGACUGAGGUUCGCGCUCCGCAAGGAUGCUGGCGUAAUGGUCAUCAGUGACCCGUCUUGAAACACGGACCAAGGAGUCGUCUUCGUAUGCGAGUGUUCGGGUGUCAAACCCCUACGCGGAAUGAAAGUGAACGCAGGUGAGAGCUUCGGCGCAUCAUCGACCGAUCCUGAUGUUCUCGGAUGGAUUUGAGUAAGAGCAUACGGGGCCGGACCCGAAAGAAGGUGAACUAUGCCUGUGUAGGGUGAAGCCAGAGGAAACUCUGGUGGAGGCUCGCAGCGGUUCUGACGUGCAAAUCGAUCGUCAAACAUGGGCAUGGGGGCGAAAGACUAAUCGAACCUUCUAGUAGCUGGUUUCCGCCGAAG